This 614-nucleotide small RNA is filed under the name Pan troglodytes (chimpanzee). RNAcentral's name for it is "retained intron". The record is from RNAcentral. Lineage: Eukaryota; Metazoa; Chordata; Mammalia; Primates; Hominidae.
UUUAAGUAUAUAUUGUCAUUUACUCUACAAAAUGCUGACCUAUUGACUGUUUCACUUUCUAGGUCCCGAACCCCUGGUAAUAGAAUUGUUUACCUUUAUACCAAGAAGGUUGGGAAAGCACCAAAAUCUGCAUGUGGUGUGUGCCCAGGCAGACUUCGAGGGGUGAGUGUACCUUUUACUGUGUGCAGCCUAACAAGUCUUGAACUUACUGAGCUUUGAUCCCUUGACGAUGGAAUGAAUCAAGGAGAGGUUACCACUAAGAGGGUUCAGAAUUACUAAACAUUCAUGAGCCAAAUCUGCCACGAACAUAGACUUUUUAAACCAAUCUGAGAAAUGCAGUGAAAUGAGUACACCAUUUCCCUUUGUAACCUACUUUAAACUUGCCCUUAACACUUAACAAAAUUUAGGAAAAUUUCUGUUAAAGCAUCACAAAAAUCUUAAUAUUUUUCUUAUGCAGGUUCGUGCUGUAAGACCUAAAGUUCUUAUGAGAUUGUCCAAAACAAAGAAACAUGUCAGCAGGGCCUAUGGUGGUUCCAUGUGUGCUAAAUGUGUUCGUGACAGGAUCAAGCGUGCUUUCCUUAUCGAGGAGCAGAAAAUCGUUGUGAAAGUGUUGA